AAGAAAGGAAACAAAAAUAGCAACUCUGAUUGCCUCUUUGAUUUUCUGAUCGUUUCAAACACACGCACCUACAGCUCCAGCAUCUGUAAAUGUUUUACUUUAUUUGAUCCCUUACAGCAGAAUCCUUUUGUUACUAUUGUCAUCAUCAAAACACUUACCGGAGUCAGCAUGAGCAGGAUGUGGCCCUAAGUAUAUUAAAACCACAGAUACCCCUUUACGGGCUUAAAAAAAAUGAGGCAGCUUUGCAAAUGGAAACAUGUACAAAACAUGCUGCAGCACAUUUGUAAACAUUCCUAUGAGUAUUCUUUUGGCAGUGCAGAACUUGUUUUUUUUUUACAAUUACGAAUCAAGUACAAAGACAAAUAUUCAUAUGAGUAACAGUAACUGGAGGGGCUAAAAAUUCAGCCAGUGAAAUACCAGCACAAUAAGAAAUUAAGACAUUUAAAACUGGGUAAGGUAAGCUUAUAGGACACAAUAAGGAAGUGAAGUGUACAAGACUCCUCCAUAACAGAAGUCAAAGUCAUCUAAAAAUUAACUCACUCUGUAGUUCCUGGGUUUUGCUCUUCUCUUCCUUCCACACCAUUGUCUUUCCUCUUCUGUCUCUCCUCCUAGACUGCUUGUGUGCGCUCUCUCUUAGACUAACAAAUCUAUAAAUGUAAAGUUUUGUUUUUUCUUCUUUAUUCAUCUUUGCGUGACACUUUCUUUUCUGAUUCUACCUUUUAUGCCAGCUUCUGCUUCUUCCAUUCAAUUUUUACUCCCCUUUAUUAUCCCCUCCUAUUUCUAUUCUCCCCUUCAUAUUUUUUCUGUUCUUAAGUAAAACCAGAGGUUUAACAUGGCAUCCCCCUUUCAGAACCUUUUUUUGCAACUUUUUACUCUAUUCUCCUCACUUUCUAUUCCUUUGCACCCUCCUUUCAUUUAUUCCGCUUGCACUUCAGGUCUUAAUGCCUCUAUGGUCAUUCUAACCCUCAGCAUCUUGGUAGGAAGCAAAGUAACCCAGAAAAGCAGGGUAUAGCAACAUCUCAUAAAGUGUCUCAAAAA
Molecule: long non-coding RNA, 1038 nt
Organism: Gavialis gangeticus (Gharial)
Lineage: Eukaryota; Metazoa; Chordata; Crocodylia; Gavialidae
Exons: 2
Source: RefSeq, a predicted model, not a curated record